This 511-nucleotide long non-coding RNA is filed under the name Nicotiana benthamiana. Its description in RNAcentral is "long non-coding RNA (NBEN_LNC018496)". The record is from RNAcentral. Lineage: Eukaryota; Viridiplantae; Streptophyta; Magnoliopsida; Solanales; Solanaceae.
GCAAGAACAUCUAAGUAUAUUGUUUAAUAUCAAUCCUGCCAGCCUCUUCCAAGGAGAAAAACAGACACAAACAGUACCAGGUUUUGCUAAAAUUCCAUAACAGAACAAGACUACACAAAUAAUAGUUGAUACAACAACAAACAAAGAUUAUCUCAGUUCUGCUACUGAUGAUGAGUCUACCUCUGACCUUGAGGAAGAGUAUAGGUAAGGCUUCGGAGGUAUUUGCAAAGAGUAGUCUUGGUUUCCUUCUAACAUUUCCACAACUUUGCUCAUCGAUGGUCGAUUCGAGGGAUCGGUUUGUAUGCACCAUAAACUCAUUAUCACCAUCUUUCUGGCACAUUCCUUCUCCUCUUCGUUCAUUAUCCCGAUUAGUUGAAGCUCUUCGUUAUCACCAUCUUUCUUGCACAUUCUUUCUCCUCUUCAUUCGUUAUCCCGAUUAGUUGAAGCUCUUCGUCUUGUUCAAUUCGUCGAUAAAGCCAAUGUGGAAAGUAGAUUUCACUUGUGCGAUCAA